GCCCGUUCCGGCAAAGUCUAACUUGCUAGCUGGAACGCACUCGUAAUGCGUAGGUCGUCGGUUCAAAUCCGACCGUCGGCUCCA
Molecule: transfer RNA, 84 nt
Filed under: Desulfoscipio gibsoniae DSM 7213
Lineage: Bacteria; Bacillati; Bacillota; Clostridia; Eubacteriales; Desulfallaceae
Description: tRNA-Thr (CGT) (tRNA-Thr-CGT-2-1)
Source: RNAcentral